This 113-nucleotide ribosomal RNA is filed under the name Mustela putorius furo (domestic ferret). The record is from RNAcentral. Lineage: Eukaryota; Metazoa; Chordata; Mammalia; Carnivora; Mustelidae.
GUCUAUGGCCAUACCACCCUGAACACGCCCGAUCUUGUCUGAUCUCGGAAGCUUAAGCAGGGUCGGGCCUGGUUAGUACUUGGAUGGGAGAAAUGAAUAAUGUAUUAUUGUCA